This 5198-nucleotide long non-coding RNA is filed under the name Lupinus angustifolius (narrow-leaved blue lupine). RNAcentral describes it as "long non-coding RNA (LANG_LNC000472)". The record is from RNAcentral. Lineage: Eukaryota; Viridiplantae; Streptophyta; Magnoliopsida; Fabales; Fabaceae.
CAAUAUUAGAACAAGAGAAGAAGAGAGAAUAUGCACUAAGGCUAGAAUAUUGGUGUGUCUUACAAUGGCUUGGAGCAUUCCUAUUUAUAGCCAAAGCCUUGAGGAUCCUAUGGCCAAAAACAAAGAUGUUUCACCACAACCUCUUCUUCUCAUUGGCUACAAAAACGGUUACAUUAUAGCCACUCAUUUUACCAUCAUAGCCACUUCUUUUGCCACAUCAUUCUCUUUUUCUUUUAAGCCAAUAUUUAAUAAAUCUCCACCUUGGCUAAAAGACUAUCAUAACUAUUUUCAUGUUGCUCUUCUUCAUGCCCACUAGAGAUUCUGGACAUCAAUCAAGUCCAGACAAUGCCUGAACUUCGUUGUUGGAACUGGCUUCGUCAUCAUGUCAGCAGGAUUAUUUGCACUUGGUAUUUUCUCCACUUUAACAAUUCCUUUUUUAAUGAUAUCUCUGAUAAAGUGAAUCUGAACAUCAAUAGAUAAAGUGCAUCCGAACAUCAAUAUGUUUUGUUCUUUCAUGAUACAUUGGAUUUUUUGUGAGAUGUAUAGCACUUUGACUAUCACAGUAGAUGGUUGUUUCUUCUAGUUGUAUACCCAACUCUUCAAUUAGACCUUUCUCCCAAAUGGCUUCCUUUACAGCUUCUGUUACUGCGAUGUACUCCGCUUCAGUUGUAGAUAAAGCAACAAUUGAUUGUAGUGUUGCUUUCCAACUAACAGUACAACCACACAGUGUAAAGACAUAUCCAGUGAGUGAUCUUCGCUUACCUAGAACUCCGGCAUAAUCUGAGUCAACAUAUCUGAUGACCUUACUUCCAACAUCUUUGACUUUUCCAUACAAUAAGCCAAUAUCCAUGGUAUCCUUUAGGUAGCCCAUAAUCCACUUCACAGCCUUCCAGUGAACUUUACCAGGACUUGCCAUAUACCUACUUACCACACUUACUGCUUGUGCAAUAUCUGGUCUAGUGCAUAUCAUGGCAUACAUAAGACUGCCAACUGCACUAGCAUAAGGUACACUUGACAUCUCCUCAUUUUCGCUCUCAGUUUGUGGACACAAGGCCAUUGAAAGUUUGAAAUGAGACGCCAAUGGAGUAGUGACUGGUUUAGCAUUUUGCAUGCCAAAUCGUUCCAACACUUUCUCAAUAUACUUCUUUUGUGAUAGAAAGAGCGUCCCUUCUUUUCUAUCUCUCUGAAUCUCCAUUCCUAGAAUUUUCCUUCCAGCUCCUAAGUCCUUCAUUUCAAACUCUGAGCUCAAUUGAGCUUUUAAGCUUUUUAUUUCUGACAUGUUCUUACAUGCGAUCAACAUGUCAUCAACAUAAAGAAGGAGAUAGAUAAAUGACUUAUUUGCCAGCUUCUUGUAGUAGACACAACUAUCAUGCUCACUUCUACAAUAGCCAUUUUCGAGCAUGAAGGUGUCAAACCGUCGAUACCACUGUCUAGAAGAUUGUUUUAAGCCAUAUAAGGAUUUCUUCAGUAAGCAAACAUGAUCUUCCUUCCCUUGAACUUCAAAUCCUUCAGGUUGUUUCAUAUAGAUUUGUUCCUCCAACUCACCAUGCAAGAAUGCUGUUUUGACAUCUAGUUGCUCAAGUUCCAUAUCAAAUUGAGCUACAAUGGCAAGUAGGAUGCGAAUAGAGCUAUGUUUUACCACAUGGGAGAAAACUUCAUUGAAAUCAAUUCCUUCUCUUUGUGUAAAACCUUUGGCCACUAAUCGCGCUUUGAAUCUUGCAUCUUCAACUCCAGGAAUUCCUUCCUUCUUCUUGAAGACCCAUUUGCAUCCAACAACCUUUUGAGACUUUGGUCGUUUCUCAAGAACCCAAGUAUGAUUCUUAUGAAGAGACUCAAUUUCCUCUCUCAUGGCAGAAAUCCAUUUGGAAGCUUCUUUAUUGUUGAUAGCUUCUUCAUAUGAUUGUGGCUCACAAUUGAUGAUAUCAUCAGCAACAUUUAGAGCAUAAGACACCUGAUCAGCAUAACCAUAUUUCUCAGGAGGUUUUAUAUGUCUCCUUUGCCUAUCCCUAGCCAACUGAUAAUGUUGCAAUUGGGAUACAUCACUACUAGUAGAUGCAUCAUGAACUUCUUCUUCUUGAUCAAAUGUAUUUUCCUUUGUUGGCUCCAUCUCAAACUCCACCUUCUCCGAGAUACUAGGGUCUUUGUUUUCAUUUGAAGACUCUUAAUGAGGCUUUAGCAUUUCAGCCUCAUUAAAAGUAACAUCCCUAUUGAUAAUACAUUUUCUUUUCUCUGGCCACCACAACUUAUAUCCUUUUACACCAUCAACAUAUCCAAGAAAAAUGCAUUUCAAUGCUCUUGCAUCAAGUUUUCCUUCUUUGUUAUGAGCAUAUGCAGGGCAACCAAAUAUCCUCAAAUUAUCAUAAUUUGCAGGAACACCCGACCACAUCUCUUCUGGAGUUUUAAAGUCAAUAGCCGUUGAUGGACAUCUGUUGAUCAAGUAACAAGCUGUAUUGACAGCUUCCGCCCAGAAUUGUUUUGGCAAUCCAGCAUUUGACAACAUACACCUUGUCCUUUCAAGUAAGGUUCUGUUCAUCCGUUCUGCAAGUCCAUUUUGUUGAGGAGUGUGCCUCACAGUAUAAUGUCUGACAAUACCAUGAUCCUUGCAAAAGUUUCCGAAUUCUCUGCUACAAAACUCUAGGCCAUUGUCAGUUCUCAGUCGCUUGAUCUUCCUCCCAGUUUGCUUUUCGAUCAAGGUUUUCCACUGCUUGAACUUCACAAAUGCUUCACUUUUGUGUUUCAAAAUGAAGAUCCAAACCUUCCUUGAAUAAUCAUCAAUGAAAGUUAGCAUAUAUCUGCUACCACCAUGAGAAGGUACUGGGGAAGGACCCUACAAGUCAGAAUGUAUAUAAUCCAACGUGUCUUUUGUUCGAUGAACUGCAUUAUUGAAUUUUAUUCGACAUUGCUUCCCAAAAAUGCAAUGUUCACAGAAGUCUACCUUCCCGACUUGUUGACCACAUAGUAAUCCUUGCUUGGCCAACUCGGCUAGACCUCUUUCACUGACAUGAUCAAUUCAUAGAUGCCAUAAUUUGGUGACAUCAGAAUAUGAUGUUGAGGAUACAGCAGCAACACCCGUGAUUAUGUUUCCUUGUAACAUAUAUAGGCUAUUCUCUUUCNNNNNNNNNNNNNNNNNNNNNNNNNNNNNNNNNNNNNNNNNNNNNNNNNNNNNNNNNNNNNNNNNNNNNNNNNNNNNNNNNNNNNNNNNNNNNNNNNNNNUUUCAAAAUGAAGAUCCAAACCUUCCUUGAAUAAUAUAUCUCCUACCACCAUGUCUUUCCUUUCAUUACAACCAUAGCGCCUUUAGAUAUUCUUAUAGCUCCACCUUCACCUUUGUAGCUAUAACCUUUUGAAUCUAGUGUUCCCAAGGAAAUCAGAUUUUUCUUCAAUUCUGGAACAUGCCUUACAUCUGUCAACGUCCUUACGAUUCCAUCGAACAUCUUGAUUCUAAUUGAGCCGAUGCCAAUGACCUUGCAGGGAGCAUUAUUUCCCAAAAGGACCUUGCCCCCAUCUAAGGGUUGGUAAGUUGAAAACCAAUCCUUAAUGGGACACAUGUGAUAUGAGCAUCCAGAAUCAAGUACCCAUUCAUCUUUUGAAUCGUGCUCUGAGACUAUUAGUGCAUCUGCACUAUCAUAGUCAUUUGCUACAGCUGCAUCUCCAUAUUCACAAAUCUUUUCCUUGCCUUUGCGCUCUGGACAAUUCUUUCUUAUAUGACCUUCCUUAUGACAAUGAAAACAUUUAUACUUUCUAGGUUUCGCUUUAGACUUGGACCUAGAUUUCCCUCUUUCACCAAAUUGAUUUCGCCUCUCUGUUCUUCCUCUGGCAAAAAGACUAUCACCUGAGCCUUCAGAUCUCGAAUCUGAUACUCUUUUCUUCAGUUCUUUUGAGUGCAACGCCGCCUUUACUUCGUCUAAGGUCAGAUCUUCUCGACCAUACAUCAUGGUGUCGAUGAAGUGCUCAUAAGAACUUGGAAGGGAACAUAGUAGAAGAAUUGCUUGGUCUUCAUCUUCAAUUUUAACAUCAAUAUUCUUUAGAUCAAGAAUAAUUUUGUUAAAUUCAUCCAGAUGAUCUUUUAUGGGUUUUCCUUCCUGCAUUUGAAGGGUAUAUAUUCUUUUCUUCAAAUACAGCCUGUUGGUGAGUGACUUCGUCAUAUACAGGCUUUCCAGCUUCAACCAUAAUGAAGCAGCUGUAGUUUCAUCUGACACUUCUCGUAGAACUUCAUCUCCCAAGCACAACAAAAUUGCACUAUGUGCUUUUUCCAGGUUUUCAUCCUUCUCGUCCUCGGUCAGACUCUGUGGUAACUUGUUUCUACCUUCCAAGGCUUUUCCCAAGCCUUGAUGAACUAGUAGAGCCUUCAUCUUCAAUCGCCAUAGGUUGAAAUCAUUUUCUCCAUUAAAUUUCUCCAAAUCAAAUUUAGCACUCGCCAUGAUAACCGUAUACCAGAACAGUAUCGUAGUCCGUGAACAUACACCAGGAAAGCUCCCAGGAAAGAGAGGUGGGUCUUAACAGACACGCUUAAAUACCAGGUCUUUCCUAAGACAGAACUUUCCUAGACAUGCACUUUCACACUAUUAUACCUUUCUAGUAACAAGAACAAUUCUUUUCUGGUGUGUAAGAUCAGACAAUGCUGCAAACACAGAGCAUACUAAGAAUUUUCUUUUAGAUCGUACGGCUUAGCAUGCAAGAGCUCUACGAGCUCUGAUACCAGUUUGUUGAUGCGGAAGACAUAUGGAGAAAAUAUAAUAGAGAAAAUGACACCGAGAAAUUAACGUGGUUCAGCAAUUUGCCUACGUCCACGGUUGAAGAGCAACAAUGAUAUUAUCACUAUGAUAAAAGAGAAUUACAAGUUCACUCAAGUGUUUCACUCACUUCCCAAAACCCAAGUACACCCAAUAUCACUCUCACUCACUUAUAUCUUAAACACUAUAAUAUUCCUCACAAUAUUAGAACAAGAGAAGAAGAGAGAAUAUGCACUAAGGCUAGAAUAUUGGUGUGUCUUACAAUGGCUUGGAGCAUUCCUAUUUAUAGCCAAAGCCUUGAGGAUCCUAUGGCCAAAAACAAAGAUGCUUCACCACAACCUCUUCUUCUCAUUGGCUACAAAAGAGGUUACACUAUAGCCACUCAUUUUACUUGGCCACAAGAAGGUUUCAUCAUAGCCACUUCUUUUGCCACAUCAUUCUCUUUUUCUUUUAAGCCAAUAUUUAAU